RNAcentral lists this unclassified non-coding RNA (246 nucleotides) under Hevea brasiliensis (rubber tree). The record is from RNAcentral. Lineage: Eukaryota; Viridiplantae; Streptophyta; Magnoliopsida; Malpighiales; Euphorbiaceae.
CCAGCCAAUGGUGCCUAGGGUAUCAGCUAGUCAGUCGACAAUGGCCAUGUCAUCAUUAAUGCCUUCUGCUUCAAUGGAGCCCAUAAGUGAAUGGGCAGCUGAUGGCAAUAGAAUGACAAUGCAUAACAGAAGUGUUUCUGAGCCAGAUAUUGGUAGAACUCCAAGACAGGUUGAGUCGCCAAAGGAAGGAACCUCAUCUAGUGCACAAAGCAAAACGUCAGGUUCAGGCACGGCAUCUCGCUUUGG